AAUUCGUUUGGAGAUAUGGGUCGG
This 24-nucleotide non-coding RNA is filed under the name Arabidopsis thaliana (thale cress). Lineage: Eukaryota; Viridiplantae; Streptophyta; Magnoliopsida; Brassicales; Brassicaceae. The record is from RNAcentral.